UUAUUGACCUGAGGACAAUAGAAGGGUCAACUGUCUUCCCAGGGUGUGUAUGAAGGGAGGAUGUAGAAGAAACACCUCUCAAGAUUUGAAAAUCCUGAUGAUUACUACCUAUUUCUAGUGACUGAAAUGAGUACAAAUAUUAUUGCCAGGAGGAAUCUUCUGAACAUCGCUAAAGAAAUAAGUCUUGGUGCCCAUAUGGAUUGUAUAAUGAAGAAAUUGAGUUUUGGAGGAAUGAAUUGACUGUCACAAGAUCUCACACAGUAAUUCUACAAGUGGUAACUCGGGUUCAUUUCAUCCAUGUCACCAGAUCCAAGGAAAAGCCAUGGCACAGAGGCAUUAUUUCCAUCAGAACUGAUGUCUGCAUUGGGAACUGUCCCACAUUCCCAGGGCAAGACCUAAGAGCAGCCAAGAGAGUGAGCCGCCAUCAUUGGGACAUUAGCCCAAGGAUGUCAUUGCUCUGGCCCAGUGUGACCCUGACCCUGAUUUCUAAGCUUCUAGGAAAUAAUAAGACCCCUGAUUCCCCUUCCUUUCACACCCCAUUCU
Molecule: long non-coding RNA, 543 nt
Organism: Sarcophilus harrisii (Tasmanian devil)
Lineage: Eukaryota; Metazoa; Chordata; Mammalia; Dasyuromorphia; Dasyuridae
Exons: 3
Source: RefSeq, a predicted model, not a curated record